AUACGGAGGAUGCGAGCGUUAUCCGGAUUUAUUGGGUUUAAAGGGUGCGUAGGCUGUGCGUUAAGUCAGGGGUGAAAUGCCGUCGCUCAACGACGGAGCUGCCCUUGAUACUGGCGUGCUGGAGUACGGAUGCCGUUGGAGGAAUGAGUGGUGUAGCGGUGAAAUGCCUAGAUAUCACUCAGAACACCGAUUGCGAAGGCAUCGAGCGAAUCCGUCACGGAGGCGGGGGCACGAAAGCGUGGGGAUAGAACAGGAUUAGAUACCCUGGUAUUCCACGCCGUAAACGAUGAUGACUAACCGUCGGCGAUAGACAGCCGGUGGCCAAGCGAAAGCGAUAAGUCAUCCACCUGGGGAGUACGUCGGCAACGAUGAAACUCAAAUGAAUUGACGGGG
RNAcentral lists this ribosomal RNA (393 nucleotides) under uncultured bacterium. RNAcentral describes it as "partial 16S ribosomal RNA". It matches the Rfam family "Bacterial small subunit ribosomal RNA", at positions 523 to 918 of the family's 1533-position model. The record is from RNAcentral.